Unclassified non-coding RNA from Gorilla gorilla gorilla (western lowland gorilla), 103 nucleotides. It matches the Rfam family "Y RNA". Rfam says of the family: Y RNAs are components of the Ro ribonucleoprotein particle (Ro RNP), in association with Ro60 and La proteins. The Y RNAs and Ro60 and La proteins are well conserved, but the function of the Ro RNP is not known. The record is from Ensembl. NCBI's taxonomy places the organism in Eukaryota, Metazoa, Chordata, Mammalia, Primates, Hominidae.
GGCUGGUCCAAAUGCAAUGGUGUGUACAACGAAUUGAUAACAACCAGUUAACAGAUUUCCUUGUUCCUUCUCCACUUCCACUGCUUCACUUGACUAGCCUUAA